UUAUUUGUGAGUUGUUGUCUUAUCAGUUCGUUACGCACUUAUAUUAAUUUCUUCUAUAGCCUACCCCAACACCUAAGCGUCCUAAUGAAGAUGAACUUGGAGAUUCUGAUGAGGAAAGUGUACGUUCGAAAAAAAAGUACGUCGACGAGCAGUCGGUUCGGAAUUGGAAAGAUCUGCAAAGAUCCCAACCAUCAUCAUCUACCCAAAGAACCUACUGUAACUGACAAAGAACGCGAAGAUAUUCUAAAAUUUGUAGAAAAUGUUGUUACAGAGAUGAUAUUAUAUUAUAUUGCUGACAUUAAUUCGGCAAAUGAAAAUGGUUCCAAAAAGUAUCUGUGAUUAGGGCAAGACCAAUCUUGAUUGUCAAUGUGGGAUGCUAGCUCAACAGUAUCUGGACUGUAUUUUUUGAUGAAAUGAAUAAUCCAAUCAUAAUGGUUAUCAAACACAGACGAAGGUGAGUAAGUUUUGUUAAAUUUACGCAUAUGUGACCAAAUAAUUGAAAUAGGUGUAGUUCUGUUAAAGGAUUCACAUAAUUUGUAACAACCUAAUCUUCUUUCAGAUCUAAUUAUGUAUUUCUUCUUAGCUUGAAGCUUUUUAUAGUUUAUAUAAUUCUCAUCACUUGGGUCUUCUUUGAAUUGGAGGUGAUAGCUGCCUAAUGGAUCGUCGAAGACCAUCCAGUCACCUUGUAAAGAGAUGGAAGGAGAGACUAUGUUUAAAUCCAAGACAUUAGGUCUCCAUAUGUGAGAGCCGACUGUAGUAACAUGACCAUCAUUUAGUAGGACUAAAUUGUUUUUAUGAAUGACAUCUAAAAUGUCUUUGCCCCUGCAAUCAGAGGUUUGGCUGCCCCAAACUAUAUUAUGACAGUUCCCCCUCAAUAUUGAUAUAGAUUCAAAAUUGACAUAAUAAUAUAAAUGUGACAAUCCCCCGCCAAGAAAAUUGGUUGAGGGAGGCUUUUAAUUAAAUUAUUCAGUUUAUGUGGUGAAAAAGGAGGGCUGCAAUUACCUGGGCUGUAAAGGCUUACAAUAGUUAAUUCCUUGCAAUUUGAAUAUUUAAUUCUAAUAGCUAUAUUUUGAAGAGAAUUAUCAUAAACAGUAUUUACAUUAGAGUAAGAGAUAGAUCUAUGUACAAGUAUGGCUACACCAUUGUGAGAGUUUCCUGAGUGUAGUCUUACUAUAUCGAAAUUAUGCAAUUUAAAUUUAUGAUGAGAUUUAAGCCAAGUCUCGCAAAGAAUGGCCACAUGAAUAUUGUUAUCAAAAAGAAAAUGGUUGAAAAUAUGUUGAUUGUGCAAUAUACUCUGAGCAUUCCACUGUACUAUAUUUAAAGUAUCCAUUAGGAUAUAAUUAAAGAUUGUUUACUAUUCUGCUUUUUGAAAGAAUCUUUUAAAACAUCGUUUUAUGGUUUCAGAGCAAAUUUUGGAUUCAUUGGUCCUGUUGAGGGUGAUUAAUUUAACAAGUGAUUCAGUAAUGGUUUUAAGUAUUAUUUCUGAAUUGAGUAAUGAAAGAAAUUGGUCUGUUUUACUAUGUGAGGGAAAAUUAGUGCUAUUAAGAGCUUGUGCAUAACUUUUAUUUUGAAAUUUAUCCUUAGUUUGCUGAAUUUUUUCUUUUUUGAUAGGGCAAAUAGAAGAUAUUGAAAUAUGGUUCCCUUUACAAUGGCAACAAGAGGCCUCUUUGGGGUUAACGUUGCAAGAUUUAAAGUUGUGACCUUCUCCACAGAUGGAGCACCUUUCAGCGUAUUUACAAAAUUUGGCGAUGUGACCAUAUUAUCUCAAGCCACGGAGGCACUGUUUUACUGGAGGUAUGUAGGCACGAACUUCAAAUCUCCAACUAUUCAAGUCAACACUCUCAGGUAAGUUUGGACAAGAGAAUGUGAUGGACACAGUUUUUGUAGGUUUAUAUUUGAUGUUACUGUUCUCGGUAAUCCUACGCAUGAAGCGUUUGAUCGAGACUAUAUUUUUUGUGCUGGUCACGCGCUAUAAAUCUCUUUGUUUGAAAGAUCUAUUGGCACGUGACUAAUAACGCCAGUUGUUUCUGUUGCGGCAGCUGGUAUACUAGCGUAGAGUUUGUGGUUAACCAGAAACUUUUUAUUGCUUAGAGCUGCAUUAGCCAAAGCUGGUCUCUCAAAUAUCACUCCUACUUUUGCUUUGUUGAUUCUUUUUAAUUGUUUUACGCCUUUAUUGUAUCGUUUUAUUGCGUUGGUGAGUGACAUCAUAUCUCUCGAGCCAAUUGGUUUGUCUUUGUCAGUGUUUUCUAGAAAGACAAUAUAUUCGAAAUUGCCACCAUCUUCAGGAUAGAAACGGACAUAAUUCGGUAAUUUAAAUGAAAUAUACUUAUCAGUAUCUUCCUCAGAAAUGAUGGAGUCCGACUCAGAGUCCCGCACCGCGGCGCUUUCCUCGGAGUCUCCCUCGACAUCUUCUUUUUUCUUACGCCCUUUUCUACCGCGGGACAUCGCGGCAACAAUCACACUUUAUAACCUACCCCAACACCUAAGCGUCCUAAUGAAGAUGAACUUGGAGAUUCUGAUGAGGAAAGUGUACGUUCGAAAAAAAAGUACGUCGACGAGCUUCAGGAUAGAAACGGACAUAAUUCGGUAAUUUAAAUGAAAUAUACUUAUCAGUAUCUUACUCAGAAAUGAUGGAGUCCGACUCAGAGUCCCGCACCGCAGCGCUUUCCUCGGAGUCUCCCUCGACAUCUUUUUUCUUACGCCCUUUUCUACCGCGGGACAUCGCGGCAACAAUCACACUUUAUAAGUAAAUAAAACUUU
Pieris rapae (cabbage white) is the source of this 2760-nucleotide long non-coding RNA. RefSeq lists it as uncharacterized. The record is from RefSeq and is a predicted model, not a curated record. NCBI's taxonomy places the organism in Eukaryota, Metazoa, Arthropoda, Insecta, Lepidoptera, Pieridae. The transcript has 4 exons.